Molecule: non-coding RNA, 1146 nt
Organism: Macaca mulatta (Rhesus monkey)
Lineage: Eukaryota; Metazoa; Chordata; Mammalia; Primates; Cercopithecidae
Source: RefSeq, a predicted model, not a curated record
UCUGCGGCCAGCUACCAGCAACCAGCUCCUGCUCCUGUAGGGGCAGAAGCUGCUGGGUGGGGUGGAGGUCCCAAGUUUGGGGUGUUCCAGUCUGUGCUCCUGCUGCUGAAUUGUUCCUUCCACUCUCCCCUGAGCCUUCUCCUAGUAUCCUUUCCUCCUCUACAAAUCUUCCCCGAAGAUGAAAGCAGGUGGGGGUAGGGUAGGGGCCUGGAAAUUGUCGACUUCAGUAAAGGAGUUGGACUUUACCCUAAGAGCCAUGGAAAGUUCACUGAAGUGCCUGAUUUGUGUUUUCGGAAAGGUACCCCUGGCUACUGGGAAGCAGAAAGCACAGACAAGAAGCUGCUUCAAUGGCCCAGGUGGGAGAGGAGUCGGAGAAGAACCAGUGAGACAAUGAGGCGGAUGGCCGUGGAAACAGAAAUCUAGUGGAGGACUCUGAUCCCUAGGGGAUGUAGGGCCACUGGACCCAAUUCCUGUAUAAUCUUGUGUGGUAUUUCCCUGCUUCUGCUCACCUUCAUUGGAUGCAACCAUAUGGCAGACAGGAUACUAUGAGUUCAUCAAACCUUUUUUCUCCUGAAACUACAUUUCCCAGCAUGCCUUGCUAUAAGGUUGCAUCGUGUGACUGAGUGCUGGCCAAUGGAAUGUGGGUAGGAGUAAUAGAUGGCACUUUUGUGGCUGCUCUCCCCCAAAAUAUCAUGAACAAUCUUCUACACAUACUCAUUUCCUCUUUUCCUUUGUAGGCUGUGGAAACAGAAAUCUAGUGAAGGACUCUGAUCCCUAGGGGAAGUAGGGCCACUGGACCCAAUUCUUGCAUAAUCUUGUGUGGUAUUUCCCUGCCUCUGCUGACUGACCUUCAUUAGAUGGCUAACAGGAUGAUUGUUCCUGUGUAGAUGUUGCCUUGGUCUUUGUCUCCUGAGGAGUCACAGAAAGAAAGACACAGACAAGGACUUGGAGGUGGAACUUGGAAGUGCUGGAGAUGAGCUAGCUGUGGCUGUAUGGACAAAGGCAAGACCCUAUGGGAUGGCCGAGCAACCACACAGAAGAACUCUUGAGACCUCAAGGAAAAGAACUGCCCGCAACUGCUCUUGACACUCUCUCCCUCUGGCCUGUUGUGUGGGAGAGAAAUAAACUUCUAUGUUAUUCAAACCA